UAAAUGUUUCAAUAAAAAAUGUAUUGAUUUUUUAAAAUCUACAUGUUUUUAAACAUAAAGCAACAUGAAUUUAUUUAAAUCACAUUUCAUACCCAGUUUUCACUAUUAUCCAGGCUUUGUUAUAACAAAGUACGAACUCGUUUCAUACAUCGUUCUCAUUCCGCGUUACUUUCUACGAAUAAUAGGAUUACUCGUCUAUGUAUGUGUAGAAAUAAAUUUUCACUGUCUUUAACAAGAUCUUGACUAGUAUCGAUGGAAGCUCAUAUGAAUAGAGAGUUCCCAGAAUAUACGGCCCUGGCCUUGCACUCUCUCACGCAGGUACUUUUCGACUGAAAGCAAGGACUUCCACUUCGCUGUACCUCCUCCUACUCUUCGAGAUAACGUUCCAGAAGAGCUAACGAGCACAGUUUCGAGCUCGUGCACUCGCUCAAGCCGACAAGUGAGCAUACACAGUAUGAAGUAUACCUGUACGAGCUACAGGCAUCAAAGGAAGAGAAACUCGCUUGCGUCCCUGAGAUACACGGCGAACGUGAGAAAGGUUUCUUCGUACAUCCUGCUUACACUUUGUGAACACAUGAAAUUCCUAUAUCUGCAGCCCUGCAAUUCCACGGAGGUUCUCUCUUAUGGUGUAUGCACUCGCACACCAUCGAACUUUACCUAUCGUCUACCGCAGGUAUCAAAUAGACUGGUAAACUGAAUCGAAUGUUCGAAACCGAAUCGAAUAUUCAAAGAUGCUUCGAAUACCACAUCUUCCAGCUUUCCCUAUCAAUCGAGUCUCUGGCAUUAAGGCGAUUCAUCGUGAAGUUGUUCACAUGCACGAAGUCCCAUGAAGCGUUUUCGUGAUGGAGAAGCAUCAUUGGCUUCCCUCUUGCAACCGCUAUCGUAUGAUCCUACCAACGAUCCAGAUCAGUUCAAUCCGCUCAAGAACGUUAAGUUAAUCGGAGCUUAUCUCUACGACUCUAAUAAUACGAUUCUCAUUCAAAUCACCCUCGAACAAUUUUUGUCUCUUCAUAUUUCGAUAUUGUUAUUUAUUUAUAGGAAAGGGAAACGGUACUCCAUAUAGAAAGUCUUCAACAAAAUAAGUAUCUUUACUAAUCAUAUGUCCAGAAUAACAAUUAAGAUAAAAGUUCAUCAUGCUCGUCGAUAUAAAUGUGAAAAGUGUAACAUUCAAAUCUUAAAUAAAGCAUCAAAUGUGUAUAAAUCAUAUCGUAGAAAUUGUUACUUGUUAAUAUGCUCAUGAUUUGGUAAUAAUGUUUUCUUUUCUUCUAAACGAAUACGAACAAACGACUUUAGUCAGAUGAUUUUAAUAUUUGAAAGAUAGGCAUACAAAAGACUAUAUAUAAAAAAAAAAAAAAAACUAUAUAUUAUUCACUAUCUAUAAUACAAACAUAAAUACAGCCAUUAUCAAUCGCUGGUCUAAUUUCUCGUUGACGUAAUGCUAAUAGCUUUAAACGGUAAAAAUAUUUGAAGUAGAAUGAAGUAGGAAACGAUUUUUACGUAAUUAUAUAAAGAAAACUAUCCUGGAAACAUUUCAAAUGGGGAACUACUUGGGACACAAAAGAUAUUCCUUGUUAAAGUUAAAGAACUUUGAAAAUUACUUGGGUUUCAUUAAAUAUUAUGUAUAGUAAUCUUAUUUAGAAACUGUUGUUUCUUGAUGAGAAAGAAUUCUUUCUAUUGUAAAAAAAGAAAACGAUAAGAUAAUAUUCAAGAAGGUCAUCUGAAUAUUAUGAAAAAAGAAACAUAUUUUUCAAUGAUGUCAAAAGAAAUAUUUAAAAAGCUCAACUUUAAAUGUUACAACUAUAAUUUGUAUUUAAUCUUAUUAAUUUUUCAAUUUUUAAGAUCCAUGGACGUUUAAGAAACAAUAUAAAUUUAAUAAAUAUCGAUAUGGGAAAAUUUAUUUUUCACCAAAAAUGUUACAAAAAUUCUUGAUCCAUUUUGACAAAAGUAUCGGGUCAAAAAACUAUUGAAGUUAGCAAGCCUUAUAGGACUCGAAUUGCACCUACCGAUCGACACAUACACACGCACACUAUUAUAAUCACACUCUUUAUUUUAGUAACAAAACAACAUCCGGCAUGCUUUUAAGAAUAAAAUGUCGUCGCUCAACACACGACUUCAACGGUAUCGCCUCAUUCGCCGAACAUCCGGCGCUAUCAAUAUUCUUUUGUUUAUAAUGAUUAAAUUUUGGUUAGCGCAUUAGAUUAUCACCAUUUGAUAUUACCAUUGACAAUUUCCGCUUCUAUAUACGUGUACAUAAAAAUGUAUUUUAAAUAUAAAAAAUAAAAACGAAAUGCAAUAACAAUGGAAAAUUUCGUGAAAAUCUUAUAUAAAUAGCUGCGUUAAACAAACAAUGUUCUAAAUUCUUUUUAAAACGUCUCACACUAAAAUACUUAAAUACUUAUCGCUUAAAUAUAUCUAACUAGCAUUUACGUCAUUCGUAUUAACUGUGAAAAUAUUUAAUUAAUCGGGUUAACGACAAUAAAGCAUUAUCUUUUUUAAAAAAAAAUCGAAAUUACACGAAAAAUCUAAUCGAAUUUUUUAUAUAAUGCACGUUUCACGAAUUUAUUACAGAUAAGGUGUUUUGGAUAAUGUUAUAAGCCUUUCAUAAUAUUUCAAGAUUAAAGAGAUUUGAGAAAUCUGAAGUCUGUGAAUUUUUUCAACGACACAAUCACGUUUGAAAAGCCCAUGCACGACACGUGGGAAGAUACGAAAUGUAUGGGAAACGAUAGCCGUCUAUUUGCGUGCGAUUUCGUCAUUGUAGCCUUCUCGUUUCAACAUCUUCGACCCCAAGCUAGAUUAAAUAAAAACUUGAAAGACAACAACAUUGAUAUCAUAAACAUGCAAUCAUGUUCAUUCUUUAACAUUUAACUAUGAGAAUGUACUU
Vespa velutina is the source of this 2881-nucleotide long non-coding RNA. RefSeq lists it as uncharacterized. Lineage: Eukaryota; Metazoa; Arthropoda; Insecta; Hymenoptera; Vespidae. The record is from RefSeq and is a predicted model, not a curated record. The transcript is spliced from 4 exons.